Molecule: ribosomal RNA, 207 nt
Filed under: uncultured Syntrophus sp.
Lineage: Bacteria; Pseudomonadati; Thermodesulfobacteriota; Syntrophia; Syntrophales; Syntrophaceae
Description: partial 16S ribosomal RNA
Rfam family: Bacterial small subunit ribosomal RNA
Source: RNAcentral
CGUGUAGGCGGCUGAGCAAGUCAGAUGUGAAAUCCCUGGGCUUAACCCAGGAAGUGCAUUUGAAACUGCUUAGCUUGAGUAAGGAAGAGGGAAGUGGAAUUCCUGGUGUAGAGGUGAAAUUCGUAGAUAUCAGGAGGAACACCGGUGGCGAAGGCGACUUCCUGGUCCUAUACUGACGCUGAGACGCGAGAGCGUGGGGAGCAAACA